RNAcentral lists this non-coding RNA (466 nucleotides) under Pan troglodytes (chimpanzee). The record is from RNAcentral. Lineage: Eukaryota; Metazoa; Chordata; Mammalia; Primates; Hominidae. RNAcentral also lists the same sequence under 1 other name.
AAUCGCCGGGGAUGGGGAUGGAUGCGGGUCCCCCGGCGGCACCCCUAGACCCCUUCCCCCUUGGUAGCCGCGCCCCGAGGUUCCGGUCCUCGCGCCCAGGGUCUGUCGCGGGGUCCGCUGGGCCUCUUGCCGCCGACUACCCCGUCAGCGAUGAGGAAACUGAGGCUCAGAGAGGUCACAUGGCUUGCUCGAGGCCCCCCAGCCAGUGUGAACCCACAUCCCUGCCCCCAGGGCCACCUGCAGGACGCCGACACCUACCCCUCAGCAGACGCCGGAGAGAAAUGAGUAGCAACAAAGAGCAGCGGUCAGCAGUGUUCGUGAUCCUCUUUGCCCUCAUCACCAUCCUCAUCCUCUACAGCUCCAACAGUGCCAAUGAGGUCUUCCAUUACGGCUCCCUGCGGGGCCGUAGCCGCCGACCUGUCAACCUCAAGAAGUGGAGCAUCACUGACGGCUAUGUCCCCAUUCU